RNAcentral lists this ribosomal RNA (254 nucleotides) under uncultured alveolate. Its description in RNAcentral is "partial 18S ribosomal RNA". It matches the Rfam family "Eukaryotic small subunit ribosomal RNA", at positions 490 to 754 of the family's 1831-position model. The record is from RNAcentral.
GCUUUAUAGUCUUGCAAUUGGAAUGAGUAGAUUUUAAAUCUCUCUACGAGUAACAAUUGGAGGGCAAGUCUGGUGCCAGCAGCCGCGGUAAUUCCAGCUCCAAUAGCGUAUAUUAAAGUUGUUGCGGUUAAAAAGCUCGUAGUUGAAUUUCUGCCAAGGACGACCUACCCACCUUAGGGUGCGCGUCAGUGUUGACCGAGGCAUCCUCCUAGUGGCGUCCGUUCUUAAACGAGCGGUUCGUUCUAGGACUUUUA